ACGAUCCGCUGUUUUGAGGACCUGAACCUUUCUUCUACACGAUACAAGAUUUAAAACCUUGAAAGAACAAAAAGAAUAAAAGUUCACCAGCAGCCAUACACAGAAACAGACCCAAAAAGAACGAAAAGAGCUUCACCCAAACUCUUUGGAAAAGCUUCUGCCUUUUGCCGUCUAAUCUCUAACCUAGGACACCCCAUGGAAAAAUCCCAACGACUUUUUUCUCUGCUGAAAGCUAACGUAUAAAUUCACAAGGAGGCAAGAAACAGAGCUGAGGUUUUCUGGUAUGUGUUGCUGUGUCGGGUUCGGUCGUGGCCUGUUAUUGGUCUGCUCUUAGGUAUAUACACAUCUAGCUGAAAAGUCCUUGUUAUUGUUCUGCUUUUAGGUACUCCCAUGAAUUCUUUGAAUGGCAAACGAAGCUGUAAAGAAUGCAUUUUUGUUUGAGCUUAUAAUAUAAGAUUCAGAUGUUUAAGGUGUUAAAAUUGUGGCUUCAUAUGUAUGCUAGUUAUAGUUUGCCUUUUGGUUUAUGUAAUAUUCUGAAUCUAUACGUUUUCAUGGUCAUUUUAGUUCAGUCUCUUCCAUGUAUUGUUUGUGGACAACUAUCAUAGUUUAGGAGGUCAUUAUUCAGAUCUGCCUGGUUCUGAGAACAUGAUUAUCUGAUAGUUCAUAGUGUUAUUGGUCUUUGAACACUAUUCUAGUUGUCUUGGUUCUUAAAGUUGAGGCUAGCUGGAAUUUUCUUUCUUGAACAGCAUGUUUAACUCAGGGUUGUUAUAAUUAAUCAAUCUAGUUAA
This is an RNA transcript of Nicotiana tabacum (common tobacco), 788 nucleotides long. RefSeq lists it as uncharacterized. The record is from RefSeq and is a predicted model, not a curated record. Lineage: Eukaryota; Viridiplantae; Streptophyta; Magnoliopsida; Solanales; Solanaceae.